AAUUAUAUGUCUGGCAUGCCCAUGCAAGCACAUGAUUUUGCUCUAUCAAUAAAUAUUGUAAUUAAACCUUUUUAUGCCACCCUUCUUUCAUCAUAUUCCAACUUAUUUGCUCUGAUAUAAGCUAGAUUUAACAUCUUCAGGCCCAGAAAUUAGGAUUCAAGAUUUGCCUCAUUGAAAACCGGUCAGGAGUUCAUGUUCACAAUCAAGCAGUGACCCCUUCUACUACUUGAGGGAUUCAGCAAAGACCAUCAACGGUACAGUCAAAGUUGAACAUGAAAACAAGGCGCUCUGCCAGUGUGCGUGCAUGAUCCAAUAGCAUGUGUUUAAUAGUAGCCACUAUGAUGUGAAAUACUAGCAGCUUCCUCCAUUUAUGCCAGUAUUUGAUAUACUUACCAAAGUUUAAGGGCGCCAAUCUUAAGAAGACAUCCCGGUUUGUGAGAAAAUUUCUUAUGCGUAUUAGACAAAAGAUGUAUCUAAUUUUCCUUAGGUUGCAUUGCAACACAUCAGUUUUUGCUAUUGGUUCUUUUACCAUAAAAUUUGUAAGGUCCCUUAUGUUUGAUUUAUUGUAUAAAUCAUUUGAGACAUGCCCUGCAUGCAUGAUUACUCACUAUAUUUAUGUUCAUCUGAUAUUAUGUUCAUGAAUCA
Molecule: long non-coding RNA, 645 nt
Organism: Triticum aestivum (bread wheat)
Lineage: Eukaryota; Viridiplantae; Streptophyta; Magnoliopsida; Poales; Poaceae
Exons: 2
Source: RefSeq, a predicted model, not a curated record